AGCUAAUAUGAAUAUCCAUUAACUGCAAGGGGCUCAACCACCCCUCGAAACGCCACCAGGUCAUGCGCUGGGCCAACAGGUCGGGGGCAGACGUGGUCUUUCUCCAAGAAACACACUACGCUCACUCACGCCCGUUCCCUCUCCUAAGCCGUCACUACCAAACCUGUCAUCUCGCCAACUCAAACACAGGCAAACACAAUGGGGUGGCAAUCUUACUGAAAAAAAACUGCCCCAUACACCUUAAAGAUGUUCACAAAGACCCGCAAGGGCGAUACAUAACAGCAACAGGCACAAUUGGGCCCACAAAAAUAGCUCUGACCUCCAUAUACGCACCAACGAUUCCAGACCCACAAUUUUGGCAGACAAUACAAGCUCACCUCAGCCAACAUCCCCUCCACCAAAGAAUAAUAGGGGGGGACUUCAACGCCACAAUCUCCCCAUCCAUAGACAGACAACGAUACUUCCCCCACACCCAGCAACCCAUCCCUACAGAUCGGACAAAUUGUUGGCCGACUUUAUAACCCAAACGGGCCUCAUAGACAUAUGGAGAACUCAACACCCAACAGACCGCGACUAUACGUUCUACUCGCACCCCCACCACACCUACUCCC
Molecule: non-coding RNA, 611 nt
Organism: Pelobates cultripes (western spadefoot toad)
Lineage: Eukaryota; Metazoa; Chordata; Amphibia; Anura; Pelobatidae
Source: the annotation of a GenBank genome assembly